GGGGGCGACCUGGCUUCGACGUGGGUUGCAAAGCAAUGCAGGGCAUACCGAGGGCCAGUGACCUCGUAAAUCCAUCUGGAAACCUUAUAGUUGCCAACGACGACAACUACGCCCUAGCCGCUUAAGGCUAGGCUCUGCACCGGCUCUUUCCUGGGCCGGAGCCUGGGAAACCAGGUGGCAGAGUCAUUUACAGGAAAUCGCAAGCACGGCGGGGCUACUUCGCCGGCAGCUAAAACCAAGGUGGCUCGCCCAAGCUCAGUUCGUCGGUUGACGGUGUGAGGGUUAAAACCAAAUAGCCAGACUAAGUAUGUAGAACUGCUUGUAGAGGACUGACGGACGCGGGUUCGAUUCCCGCCGCCUCCACCA
RNAcentral lists this transfer-messenger RNA (366 nucleotides) under Acidobacteriaceae bacterium. It matches the Rfam family "transfer-messenger RNA". Rfam says of the family: Bacterial tmRNA, also known as 10Sa RNA or SsrA, is named for its dual tRNA and mRNA-like properties. Its role is to liberate the mRNA from a stalled ribosome. RNAcentral also lists the same sequence under 1 other name. The record is from RNAcentral. Lineage: Bacteria; Pseudomonadati; Acidobacteriota; Terriglobia; Terriglobales; Acidobacteriaceae.